RNAcentral lists this ribosomal RNA (465 nucleotides) under uncultured Klebsiella sp. RNAcentral's name for it is "bacterial SSU rRNA". It matches the Rfam family "Bacterial small subunit ribosomal RNA", at positions 338 to 795 of the family's 1533-position model. The record is from RNAcentral. Lineage: Bacteria; Pseudomonadati; Pseudomonadota; Gammaproteobacteria; Enterobacterales; Enterobacteriaceae.
CCUACGGGUGGCAGCAGUGGGGAAUAUUGCACAAUGGGCGCAAGCCUGAUGCAGCCAUGCCGCGUGUGUGAAGAAGGCCUUCGGGUUGUAAAGCACUUUCAGCGGGGAGGAAGGCGGUGAGGUUAAUAACCUCAUCGAUUGACGUUACCCGCAGAAGAAGCACCGGCUAACUCCGUGCCAGCAGCCGCGGUAGUACGGAGGGUGCAAGCGUUAAUCGGAAUUACUGGGCGUAAAGCGCACGCAGGCGGUCUGUCAAGUCGGAUGUGAAAUCCCCGGGCUCAACCUGGGAACUGCAUUCGAAACUGGCAGGCUAGAGUCUUGUAGAGGGGGGUAGAAUUCCAGGUGUAGCGGUGAAAUGCGUAGAGAUCUGGAGGAAUACCGGUGGCGAAGGCGGCCCCCUGGACAAAGGCUGACGCUCAGGUGCGAAAGCGUGGGGAGCAAACAGGAUUAGAUACCCUAGUAGUC